Molecule: ribosomal RNA, 446 nt
Filed under: uncultured bacterium
Lineage: Bacteria
Description: bacterial SSU rRNA
Rfam family: Bacterial small subunit ribosomal RNA
Source: RNAcentral
GGUAUGGGAUGAGCUUGCGUCCGAUUAGCUAGUUGGCGGGGCAACGGCCCACCAAGGCGACGAUCGGUAGCCGGCCUGAGAGGGUGAUCGGCCGCAUUGGGACUGAGAUACGGCCCAGACUCCUACGGGAGGCAGCAGUAGGGAAUAUUGCACAAUGGGGGAAACCCUGAUGCAGCAACGCCACGUGUGGGAAGAAGCAUUUCGGUGUGUAAACCACUGUCAUGAGGGAAUAAGGCCCGCCUUCGGACGGGAUUGAAUGUACCUUGAGAGGAAGCACCGGCAAACUUCGUGCCAGCAGCCGCGGUAAUACGAGGGGUGCAAGCGUUGUUCGGAAUUACUGGGCGUAAAGGGAGCGUAGGCGGAGAUUCAAGCGGAUUGUACAAUCCCGGGGCCCAACCCCGGCUCUGCAGUCCGAACUGGAUCUCUUGGAUAGUUCAGGGGCAGGC